RNAcentral lists this ribosomal RNA (227 nucleotides) under Acartia tonsa. RNAcentral describes it as "partial large subunit ribosomal RNA". The record is from RNAcentral. Lineage: Eukaryota; Metazoa; Arthropoda; Copepoda; Calanoida; Acartiidae.
CUCAGAUCAUGUGCGGGGUAGAGGUCGAACAGACCUUGUGAAAAUAGCUUCUGCACUAUUUGUAGCCGCAAUUCAACAUCGAGGUCGCAAACAAUUAUUUUAAUAAGGGCUUAAAUAAUUAUAACGCUGUUAUCCCUAGAGUACCUUAUUCGUCUAAUUUAAUAAAGAUCAUUGUUUAAUAUAAAUAGUCCUAUUUAAAUUUACCCCAAAUAAACUUGUGUAUAAUA